CCCAGAUGAUCAUGUCAGCCUGCAGAUUUUCACAGCCGUGAACUGCAGGCAUUUUAGGUUUGAUGAUUUCUGGUUGUGGCAGACUGCUGUUGUGUGGAAAUAUGUUUAUCAGCACCUGUGCCCUCUUCUUGCUGUCCGAGAUGCUGAAAUAUGUCCCUCACAAAGCCAAGCCUGGAGUGAGUGUAAGAUCUGGUUCUCAGACUAUAGCUCAGAUGUGGGAGAACAGUGUGAGGCAAUCAAUCCCCGGUUGUGGGCACAGGGGUAAGGUGGGUCACGUCCCCUGCAGGGGCUUCCUAUUAAAGUGGACACUAGGCACUGUGCUUACAGAUAGAACACUGUCACAUUUAAGAGGCACAAAAUAUAACCUACAGGAAUAGGCAGGGUCUGGCAGGUUAGCAAAGUUUCUGGUCUAUGAGGGUU
RNAcentral lists this long non-coding RNA (420 nucleotides) under Rattus norvegicus (Norway rat). Its description in RNAcentral is "long non-coding RNA NONRATT012000". The record is from RNAcentral. Lineage: Eukaryota; Metazoa; Chordata; Mammalia; Rodentia; Muridae.